CGAUUUUCGAAUAAGCCUAGUGUGGGUAACGCUUAGCAGACGACGAUCCAGUAGCGAUCGAGAAGGAAUGAUCCGCCACACUGGACUGAGAACACGGUCCAGACUCCUACGGAGGCAGCAGUGGGGAAUUUGGACAAUGGGCGCAAGCUGAUCCAGCCAUGCCGCGUGUCUGAAGAAGGCUUCGGGUUGUAAAGGACUUUGUCAGGAAGAAAAGGCUGUUGCUAAUACCGACAGCUGAUGACGGUACCUGAAGAAUAAGCACCGGCUAACUACGUGCCAGCAGCCGCGGUAAUACGUAGGGUGCGAGCGUUAAUCGGAAUUACUGGGCGUAAAGCGAGCGCAGACGGUUACUUAAGCAGGAUGUGAAAUCCCCGGGCUCAACCUGGGAACUGCGUUCUGAACUGGGUGACUAGAGUGUGUCAGAGGGAGGUAGAAUUCCACGUGUAGCAGUGAAAUGCGUAGAGAUGUGGAGGAAUACCGAUGGCGAAGGCAGCCUCCUGGGAUAACACUGACGUUCAUGCUCGAAAGCGUGGGUAGCAAACAGGAUUAGAUACCCUGGUAGUCCACGCCCUAAACGAUGUCAAUUAGCUGUUGGGCAACUUGAUUGCUUAGUAGCGUAGCUAACGCGUGAAAUUGACCGCCUGGGGAGUACGGUCGCAAGAUUAAAACUCAAAGGAAUUGACGGGGACCCGCACAAGCGGUGGAUGAUGUGGAUUAAUUCGAUGCAACGCGAAGAACCUUACCUGGUCUUGACAUGUACGGAAUCCUCCAGAGACGGAGGAGUGCCUUCGGGAACCGUAACACAGGUGCUGCAUGGCUGUCGUCAGCUCGUGUCGUGAGAUGUUGGGUUAAGUCCCGCAACGAGCGCAACCCUUGUCAUUAGUUGCCAUCAUUUAGUUGGGCACUCUAAUGAGACUGCCGGUGACAAGCCGGAGGAAGGUGGGGAUGACGUCAAGUCCUCAUGGCCCUUAUGACCAGGGCUUCACACGUCAUACAAUGGUCGGUACAGAGGGUAGCCAAGCCGCGAGGUGGAGCCAAUCUCACAAAACCGAUCGUAGUCCGGAUUGCACUCUGCAACUCGAGUGCAUGAAGUCGGAAUCGCUAGUAAUCGCAGGUCAGCAUACUGCGGUGAAUACGUUCCCGGGUCUUGUACACACCGCCCGUCACACCAUGGGAGUGGGGGAUACCAGAAGUAGGUAGGGUAACCGCAAGGAGCCCGCUACCACGGUAGCUUCUG
This 1237-nucleotide ribosomal RNA is filed under the name Neisseria perflava. RNAcentral's name for it is "bacterial SSU rRNA". It matches the Rfam family "Bacterial small subunit ribosomal RNA", at positions 230 to 1471 of the family's 1533-position model. The record is from RNAcentral. Lineage: Bacteria; Pseudomonadati; Pseudomonadota; Betaproteobacteria; Neisseriales; Neisseriaceae.